This 466-nucleotide ribosomal RNA is filed under the name uncultured bacterium. RNAcentral describes it as "partial 16S ribosomal RNA". It matches the Rfam family "Bacterial small subunit ribosomal RNA", at positions 28 to 505 of the family's 1533-position model. The record is from RNAcentral.
GACGAACGCUGGCGGCGUGCUUAACACAUGCAAGUCGAACGGAAAGGCCCUGCUUUUGUGGGGUGCUCGAGUGGCGAACGGGUGAGUAACACGUGAGUAACCUGCCCUUGAUUUUGGGAUAACUUCAGGAAACUGGGGCUAAUACCGGAUAGGAGCUCCUGCUGCAUGGUGGGGGUUGGAAAGUUUCGGCGGUUGGGGAUGGACUCGCGGCUUAUCAGCUUGUUGGUGGGGUAGUGGCUUACCAAGGCUUUGACGGGUAGCCGGCCUGAGAGGGUGACCGGCCACAUUGGGACUGAGAUACGGCCCAGACUCCUACGGGAGGCAGCAGUGGGGAAUAUUGCACAAUGGGCGGAAGCCUGAUGCAGCAACGCCGCGUGCGGGAUGACGGCCUUCGGGUUGUAAACCGCUUUCGCCUGUGACGAAGCGUGAGUGACGGUAAUGGGUAAAGAAGCACCGGCUAACUACG